Non-coding RNA from Peromyscus maniculatus bairdii (prairie deer mouse), 3370 nucleotides. NCBI's taxonomy places the organism in Eukaryota, Metazoa, Chordata, Mammalia, Rodentia, Cricetidae. The record is from RefSeq and is a predicted model, not a curated record.
UUGCAGGUUAGGGUAAGAAAGCACAGCUCUGAGUCUCUCCUGGGUUGGCCAAAGCCUUCGGGGAGUGGGUUGGGCAUUCAAGGUAUUGAGAGUCCCAGGUCCUGUAGGCAUCCCAAAUCCUGUCCGGUCCACACCUUGCCCCACCCUGCUCCGCCUCAUCUCCUUCCUGGUACAGCCGGUUGGUACCCGUUCGCUUCUCAUCAGCCGCACCCCUCUCGUCUGACUCCAGGCAAUUGGCUCACCAGCCCCUUGAGGGGCUCCCCAGGACUCAAGCCCCCGUGCAUCCCCAUAUUGCAGUGCCCGCCGCUGCCAACCGGGAGCAGUAGAGACCAAGAAGAGGCCAGCGCUCCCCGCCCGUGCCUUGAUGUGUGUGGGGGAUCUGAAAGGAUCGUGAGCAUCGCAGAGGGGACUGAAGGGCGAGCCAGGACUCCCGUGUUCCCGGAGCUCCGGAGAUCCCCGCUGCAAAGGCAGGGGUUGCUAUUUUGGGGGCAACAGCUGCUGUAGUUCCGGCAUCUCCAGCCAAGAGAUCAAAAUUCCCCGGGUCGGAACUACCCCUCCGGGCGUUCACCCAUCACCCAGCCAGCCUUGGUCGCCUGGAUCUGGGGAUAGUGGCGUUGUGGAGAUUAAUCAGGAAACCCGAGUGGGGCUAAUUAUAACUCGGGGCUUCCGCUGAGCCUCCCUUUAGAAAAAAAAAAAAAAAGAAGAAGAAGAAAGAAAGAAAACAGAGACGGAAUCUCCGCAGGAGGGGGUCCUGGAGCUGGCAAGGGGCUCAGCUGGGCAGGGACGUUAGGGUCGCGGCCCUGGGGAUGGGGGGUGGUGCAGUCGGGAUGUCAGUAACCUGCGCAGUUUGGGCUCCGCCCCAAACAGGGGGCGUCUUCCAAUGUCCCCAGACUUGGAGGAGAGUGGGGAAUGGGCCUUCAGGGGGUCCCUGCAGGAAGAGAACGCAGAGGCAGCGGGCGGCCCAGAGAGCAUCAUCAGAGCCACCCAGGGCACCCCCCACCACUUGGUGUCUCCAGGACGGUGACAGUUGCUCCUGCCGCAAUGUGCAGGCUGCCUCAAGAUCCUGCCUCGACUUCUCCAUGGUGAUGGGCGAUGACAUAAACUACUUUCUCUCUUUGCGCCAGGCCAUUUUAUCACAGAAACAGAAAUGAAACUACACCUCGCUGGCCUCAAACUGUAGCAAUCAUCUAUCAUCCCAGCACUUGGAAGGCUGAAGUGGGAGAACUGUGAGUGUGAGACCACCUUGAGCUACACAGAGAGACCCUGUCUCAAAGGAAAAAACAAACAAACAAAAUCCAAGACAACAAGUUUUCUAUGGCAGUGGGGGCUGUACCUCUCCACACAAGCAUGAGGGCUGGAGUUUGGAUCCCCAGAACACUUGCAGAUGCAACCUGUAACUCCAGUCUUGGAAGGCAGAGUAUCUACCGAGGCCAGAAGGGGGCACUGGAUUCCCUAAAGCUGGGGCUCUGGGAACUGAACCCGAGACCUCUGCAAACGCAGCAAGCGCUCUGCUCCACAGACCCAUCCCUCCAGCUCCGGGACAGACGUUACUCACCAGAACCCGUUGAGAUGGGGAAGAAGAGUCCGCGUGUUUGUGCUUGGGUGCUGUAAUGGCGCUCACUUCCCGAAGCUAGGCUCCUCCUCCUCCGCAGGGAUGGAAAGCAGGGACCUCGUCCUCACAUGAUGCCUGGAGCGCGAGGCAGAGUCCUACAUUAGCCUUGACCACUGCUAGGGAAGCAGACUCUUGAGGUAUGUUAGGGCAGGGGAGCUGGUUCCGUGGGUAAAAACGGCACUUGCUGCCAAACCUGACAACCUGAGUUCCACCCUUGGGACCACGUGUGGAAGGUGAGGGCUGGCUUCCUCACACAUGCGUCACAUGCGUGUGCAUUGUCUCCGAAGUUUCUGGAUCAGUGGUGAGGUGGGGCAUCUCGGAGGGAAAAGGUAGAGGAAGCUGCUGCUUACUUCCUGGCUAGGCGGGAAGAGGAGGAGGCUGGGGUUGCCUUUGUGGACAUGCGCCCACUAAGACUCAACCUGUGCAUUAGUCACCUCUGCAUCCCCGUGACAAAAAUACCUGACGUAAGCCUUCACCCCCAGAUGACAUCUGUGUCACACACCUGGUGUCACCCCCAGAUGACAUCUGUGUCACACACCUGGUGUCACCCCCAGGAUGACAUCUGUCACACACCUGGUGUCACCCUCAGGAUGACAUCUGUCACACACCUGGUGUCACCCCCCCAGAUGACAUCUGUGUCACACACCUGGUGUCACUCCCCAUCACAUCUGUGUCACACACCUGGUGUCACUCCCCAUCACAUCUGUGUCACAUACCUGGUGUCACCCCCAGGAUGACAUCUGUGUCACACACCUGGUGUCACCCCCCAGAUGACAUCUGUGUCACACACCUGGUGUCACCCCAUGACAUCUGUGUCACACACCUGGUGUCACCCCCCCAGAUGACAUCUGUGUCACACACCUGGUGUCACCCCCUGAUGACAUCUGUGUCACACACCUGGUGUCACCCCCAGAUGACAUCUGUGUCACACACCUGGUGUCACCCCCCGAUGACAUCCGUGUCACACACCUGGUGUUCAUACCUUUUCUUUCUGAUUUGAGCAUGGUAGUCCAUAGUGUGACUAUUCCAUGGUUUCCUGGUGACACUCUCCCCCCCUUGAAGGGCAAGCACGCCACACAAUCACUGAGCCACACACCUGUGGGGCAUACAUGGGCACAAAGAGGGCGGGGAAAGAAUUUAGACAAAUAGAGCUUGAGCUUUAAGCUGUUUCCGAACAGAGUAGAUCCAAAGGAUGCUGUGGAGAGGAAGUUAGCUUAAGCUGUUUGUGCAGAGAAUAGAUAAAGGAUGGCUGAGAGGAAGAGUUAGCUUGGGUUGUUUGUGUGGAGAUUAGAGACGAAUGGUGAGGAAGAAAGUUAGCUCAAGUUGUUUAUGCUAAAAACAGGAGAUGAUGUCAGGACAUAAACAACCUGUAAAUAGGGUGACCUUUAAAAUGAUUGGUCGGUUUCUUCACCCCUCCUGGGGUUCUGAGGUUUUCUGGUAUAAAAGAGGCUUACUGCCCAUCAAUAAAGGAGUUCUUGCUUCACUUGACUCCCCCCAGGGUCUGAUUGUCUCUGGGUAAGGCAGGCUGGGGAAUGGGAGAGAGGGUGCACACUUGCCUCUCCUCGGUUCCAGGCCACCUCUUCACAGGUGACCUAAGUUCCCCGUGUGGCAGGUGCCCCCCCCCCCACACCCAGAAGCACUCACUGUCUUUCUGGGUGGCGAUAACCCAGCUUGGGUUGCUACCAGUUUUCACUGAAGGGCAACAGCCAUCUGUGGGAUGCUUGCCUGAACAGAGAAGAGGGUGGAGGUUGUGGGGUA